AUUGAACGCUGGCGGCAGGCCUAACACAUGCAAGUCGAGCGGUAACACAGGGAGCUUGCUCCUGGGUGACGAGCGGCGGACGGGGGAGUAAUGUCUGGGAAACUGCCUGAUGGAGGGGGAUAACUACUGGAAACGGUAGCUAAUACCGCAUAACGUCGCAAGACCAAAGAGGGGGACCUUCGGGCCUCUUGCCAUCAGAUGUGCCCAGAUGGGAUGAGCUAGUAGGUGGGGUAACGGCUUACCUAGGCGACGAUCCCUAGCUGGUCUGAGAGGAUGACCAGCCACACUGGAACUGAGACACGGUCCAGACUCCUACGGGAGGCAGCAGUGGGGAAUAUUGCACAAUGGGCGCAAGCCUGAUGCAGCCAUGCCGCGUGUAUGAAGAAGGCCUUCGGGUUGUAAAGUACUUUCAGCGGGGAGGAAGGCGAUAAGGUUAAUAACCUUGUCGAUUGACGUUACCCGCAGAAGAAGCACCGGCUAACUCCGUGCCAGCAGCCGCGGUAA
RNAcentral lists this ribosomal RNA (504 nucleotides) under uncultured bacterium. Its description in RNAcentral is "partial 16S ribosomal RNA". It matches the Rfam family "Bacterial small subunit ribosomal RNA", at positions 29 to 523 of the family's 1533-position model. The record is from RNAcentral.